Molecule: ribosomal RNA, 743 nt
Filed under: uncultured organism
Description: bacterial SSU rRNA
Rfam family: Bacterial small subunit ribosomal RNA
Source: RNAcentral
UCAAGAGGAACGCCAGAGGCGAAGGCGAUCUGCUGGGCUUGACCUGACGCUGAGGUGCGAAAGCCAGGGGAGCAAACGGGAUUAGAUACCCCGGUAGUCCUGGCCAUAAACGAUGUCCACUAGAUCGGUGAACUUCUGACAGUGUGCCGGUCGAAACAAAAGCGUUAAGUGGACCGCCUGGGGAGUACGGUCGCAAGGCUAAAACUCAAAGGAAUUGACGGGGGCUCACACAAGCGGUGGAGCAUGUUGCUUAAUUCGAUGCAACGCGAAGAACCUUAUCCUGGGCUUGACAUGCUUGGAUGCCCAUCUGGAAACAGAGUAGGCUGCCCUUCGGGGUGAAACUUGCACAGGUGCUGCAUGGCUGUCGUCAGCUCGUGUCGUGAGAUGUUGGGUUAGGUCCCGUAACGAGCGAAACCCUUGUCGUUAGUUGCCAGCGCGUAAUGGCGGGGACUCUAGCGAGACUGCCGGUGUUAAACCGGAGGAAGGUGGGGAUGACGUCAAGUCCUCAUGGCCUUUAUGCCCAGGGCUGCAAACGUGCUACAAUGGCGAGGACAAACCGACGCAAAGCCGCGAGGUCGAGCAAAUCGGAGAAACCUUGCCCCAGUUCGGAUUGGAGUCUGCAACUCGACUCCAUGAAGUCGGAAUCGCUAGUAAUCGCGUAUCAGCGUGACGCGGUGAAUAUGUUCCUGAGCCUUGUACACACCGCCCGUCAAGUCAUGGAAGCUGGGAGCGCCCGAAGUCGG